Molecule: transfer RNA, 72 nt
Filed under: Toxocara canis (dog roundworm)
Lineage: Eukaryota; Metazoa; Nematoda; Chromadorea; Rhabditida; Toxocaridae
Rfam family: tRNA
About the family: Transfer RNA (tRNA) molecules are approximately 80 nucleotides in length. Their secondary structure includes four short double-helical elements and three loops (D, anti-codon, and T loops).
Source: Rfam by way of RNAcentral
UGGGCAGUAGCUCAGUGGUAGAGCUCCCGCUUCUUAUGCGCGAAGACCUGGGUUCGGUUCCCGGCUAUUCCC